RNAcentral lists this ribosomal RNA (253 nucleotides) under uncultured bacterium. RNAcentral's name for it is "partial 16S ribosomal RNA". It matches the Rfam family "Bacterial small subunit ribosomal RNA", at positions 524 to 776 of the family's 1533-position model. The record is from RNAcentral.
UACGGAGGGUGCAAGCGUUGUCCGGAUUUAUUGGGUUUAAAGGGUGCGUAGGCGGCCCGUUAAGUCAGUGGUGAAAGCCUCCAGCUCAACUGGAGAACUGCCAUUGAUACUGGCGGGCUUGAGUACAGACGAGGUAGGCGGAAUUGAUUGUGUAGCGGUGAAAUGCAUAGAUACAAUCAAGAACACCGAUUGCGUAGGCAGCUUACUAGGCUGUAACUGACGCUGAGGCACGAAAGCGUGGGGAGCGAAUAGG